Molecule: ribosomal RNA, 1433 nt
Filed under: uncultured Acetobacteraceae bacterium
Lineage: Bacteria; Pseudomonadati; Pseudomonadota; Alphaproteobacteria; Acetobacterales; Acetobacteraceae
Description: LSU rRNA
Rfam family: Bacterial large subunit ribosomal RNA
Source: RNAcentral
AAUCUGAGCAGGGUGAGCCGACCCCUAAGGCGAGGCCGAGAGGCGUAGUCGAUGGGAACCUGGUUAAUAGUCCCGGGCCAGGAGGAUGUGACGGAUCGCAGAGCUUGUUUGCCCUUAUCGGAUUGGGCGGGCGGGUGAGCGGUUCCUGGAAAUAGCCCUCCAUGAGAUCGUACCCUAAACCGACACAGGUGGACUGGUAGAGCAUACCAAGGCGCUUGAGAGAACGAUGUUGAAGGAACUCGGCAAAAUACCUCCGUAAGUUCGCGAGAAGGAGGCCCCACGCUUGCGCAAGCAGGAGUGGGGGGCACAAACUAGGGGGUGGCGACUGUUUACUAAAAACACAGGGCUGUGCGAAGCCGCAAGGCGACGUAUACAGUCUGACGCCUGCCCGGUGCUGGAAGGUUAAAGGGAGGGGUGCAAGCUCCGAACUGAAGCCCCAGUAAACGGCGGCCGUAACUAUAACGGUCCUAAGGUAGCGAAAUUCCUUGUCGGGUAAGUUCCGACCUGCACGAAUGGCGUAACGACUUCCCCGCUGUCUCCAACAUCGACUCAGCGAAAUUGAAUUGCCCGUGAAGAUGCGGGCUUCCCGCGGUUAGACGGAAAGACCCCAUGCACCUUUACUCUAGCUUCGCACUGGCAUCAGGAUUGCGAUGUGCAGGAUAGGCGGUAGGCUUUGAAGCGGGGACGCUAGUCUUCGUGGAGCCGUCCUUGAGAUACCGCCCUUCGCCAUCUUGAUGUCUAACCGCGGUCCGUUAUCCGGAUCCGGGACCCUGCGUGGUGGGGAGUUUGACUGGGGCGGUCGCCUCCCAAAUCGUAACGGAGGCGCGCGAAGGUUGGCUCAGGGCGGUCGGAAAUCGCCCGUUGAGUGCAAUGGCAUAAGCCAGCCUGACUGCGAGACUGACACGUCGAGCAGAGUCGAAAGACGGCCAUAGUGAUCCGGUGGUCCCACGUGGGAGGGCCAUCGCUCAACGAAUAAAAGGUACGCUGGGGAUAACAGGCUGAUACUGCCCAAGAGUCCAUAUCGACGGCAGUGUUUGGCACCUCGAUGUCGGCUCAUCUCAUCCUGGGGCUGGAGCAGGUCCCAAGGGUAUGGCUGUUCGCCAUUUAAAGAGGUACGUGAGCUGGGUUUAGAACGUCGUGAGACAGUUCGGUCCCUAUCUUCCGUGGGUGCAGGAGACUUGAGAGGAGUUGCCCCUAGUACGAGAGGACCGGGGUGAACGUUCCACUGGUGGACCGGUUGUUGCGCCAGCAGCAGUGCCGGGUAGCUAUGAACGGACAGGAUAACCGCUGAAGGCAUCUAAGCGGGAAGCCCCCCUCAAAACCAGGUCUCCCUGAGGACCGUGGCAGACCACCACGUCGAUAGGCCGGAGAUGCACGCGCAGCAAUGCGCUCAGUUGACCGGUACUAAUCGUCCAAUAGGCUUGAUCCGAUCC